Molecule: RNA transcript, 2465 nt
Organism: Cuculus canorus (common cuckoo)
Lineage: Eukaryota; Metazoa; Chordata; Aves; Cuculiformes; Cuculidae
Gene: STKLD1
Gene name: serine/threonine kinase like domain containing 1
Exons: 18
Source: RefSeq, a predicted model, not a curated record
UUUACGCCUUUAAAAGGGGCGCACACUACCCACCCCCGUGAGAGCGUGUGGUGGUUGAGGGCUCGUGGGCGGUUUGGGGGUUUUAUCCUCCCCCGUUCAGGAGAUGUAAUAGUGCCUUUUUUUUCCUUCUUUUUGCCUUUAAAGCAUGGGCUCCCUAUCUUGCUGGCACCUGCUAUCGGUAGCUGAGUCGCUGCUCUGCACCUAAGGACCCAGCUGGGCCCUCUCUCGCUAUGGAGAAAUAUAAGGUGCUGGAGCAGCUCCAGCCAGGGGCACUGGGUACUAUGCUGGUGGCUGAAUUGGAAAUAGAAAAGGGGGAAAAGAAGAAAUACAUAAUAAAGCAGGUUGAAUGCAUUGAAGAAAAGCAAGCAAAUGAGGCCUUGAAGGAGGCAAUGGAUUUGCUGAAACUUCAUCAUCCAAAUGUUUGUGCUUACAAGGAAUUGUUUGUGACUUGGGAUAAUGAGAUAUCGUCCCUGUUCCUUUGUCUGGUAAUGCAGCACUUGGGCCAAGGAGAUCUUUCAUCUGUAAUCAAGGAAAAGAGGCAGAAGUCGGAAAAAAUAACAGACAUGGUGAUUCUGAACUUCCUGGGACAGAUGGUGGAUGCUUUGUUUUAUAUACACCAACAAAAUAUUUUCCACAGAAAUCUCAAGCCAUCAAACAUACUUGUGACUGGUGAAACAUCCUUCAUGCUUGGUGACUUCAGUACAGAAACGCUUAUGACAGAUGAGAUGAAAUGGAAAAUAAGAGUGGAAGAAAAUAGCAAGUCUUGGAUGGCUCCAGAAGCAUUUGUGUUUUCUUUUACUGACAAAUCUGACAUCUGGUCUCUAGGCUGUGUUCUUCUUGACAUGACAACCUGCUUUGUUCUGAAUGCACAAGAGAUAUCUUCACUACUGCAGGAUAUUAGAGAAGAUACCAGCCAUCUUGAGGGAAUUCUGACACUAAUGCGAACUGAAGAUAAUGACUCUUUGCCUUUAUUUCCAAUUUUAUUUAUGAUGCUGCAGAUUCAGCCCAGUGUGAGACCAGCAGCAAAGGAUCUGAUUGAUGUUCCGUUUAUUAAGGAAUGCUUGACUGUUGCUCGUGCCUCUUCAGUAAAUCUGAAAAAGUCCUUGCCUCCCAAAAUAAUAGAUAUAUUCCUUGAGGGAGGAAUCGAAAGUGUUCUAGAAUCCAUGCAGGCUUUCUGGGAUAUAGAAGAAGUACAAGCUAAAGCCUUUCAGCUUCUUGCCAGCUUUGUAAGAGAGAAGAGUGCCUUGCCCUAUCUGCUAAGGUUCACAGAGUUGAUCAGUUUUGCCAUGAAAACUCACGUAGAUUCUCUCAAGCUGCAAGUAGAUGGUUACAGUUUACUGCUUGAAAUUCUUAGUCAAGCUCUAGAACAGGAUGUGGUGAUGGCCCUGGGUGAGAAUGUGGCCAGCUCUCUGCUAGAGUCAGUGAGAAAACACGCUGAAAAUGAAGAGCUACUUUUACUGGCUUGCACGUUACUGAUGAUGAUGUCAGCCAGCGAAGUUGCUGCAGAAAAUCUAAGGAAAGUUGGAGUAAUUCCAGACCUUCUGUCAGUUUUAACAAAUUUUCUUCAUAAUGAGAAGAUCUGCCUCUCUGGCUGCGGAGUCCUCUGGAGCUUAGCUGUGAGUGAGAAUAAUGUGGACCAAGCAUUGCUGAGAUGUGCUGUCCCUGUUACCUCUGCCAUCCUUCAAGAGCAUCUCCAGAAUGGAACAGUUACGGAGUCUGCUUGCUUGGCUCUGUGGGCAUUGUCACUCCAAGGUUGCUUAACUGAAGAUGACUACGAGCCCACAACAGCACUUCUGCUGGAUGCGCUGAGGAUGAAUCCAGAAAGACCAGCACUGGUGAAGAAUGCCUGUCUGGCACUAGCAAGCCUUCUAAGGCUGUCUGAAAUAUCAGCUUUGAGAUUUAUAACGGAUUCAAAAGGCAGUGGAAUAAACCUGAUCAAUGAUGCCUACCACCUUCACCUCGAUGAUCUGGAAGUGGUAGAAAGUAUCUGCUUGCUGAUUAAUGAGAUGGUUCAGUACGGUGAGAUGGUGUUUGUCAAGUCCCUUCCUCUCCCCUACCUCCAAAAGACAGUAAAGUGUAACAGCAACUGCUCAGGGACAUGUUCAUUGCUCUCAGGAAAGACCUGCUAUAAAUCAGAAAAAGGAGGAUUAAUUGAACUGGGAGUUCAUCCCCUUGUUCUUGAAUAAAUGCCUCUCUGUUAUAGUGUUUUAACUCCACCUUAUCUUGCCUUCUGUGAAGAUAUGUCCCCUCCCUGCUCUCCUUUAGCUCCUGCUGAAAUCGUUGGCAGUUGUAGCCAUGAAUUAUCCUGUUAAUAUUACAGAUGAGGUUGUGAUGGAUAUGCUGUCCCAGAAAAUGGAAGAACUGCUGUCUGAAAUAAAAAGCCAUGUUCCGUCUAGCAUGGAGAUAAUGACCCUUGUGGAUGCAAUGCUUUUGAAACUUGCAGAAGUAAAAGAAAAACUUCCAUA